RNAcentral lists this ribosomal RNA (497 nucleotides) under uncultured bacterium. RNAcentral describes it as "partial 16S ribosomal RNA". It matches the Rfam family "Bacterial small subunit ribosomal RNA", at positions 28 to 507 of the family's 1533-position model. The record is from RNAcentral.
GAUGAACGCUGGCGGCGUGCCUAAUACAUGCAAGUCGAGCGAACGGACGAGAAGCUUGCUUCUCUGAUGUUAGCGGCAGACGGGUGAGUAACACGUGGAUAACCUACCUAUAAGACUGGGAUAACUUCGGGAAACCGGAGCUAAUACCGGAUAAUAUUUUGAACCGCAUGGUUCAAAAGCGAAAGACGGUCUUGCUGUCACUUAUAGAUGGAUCCGCGCUGCAUUAGCUAGUUGGUAAGGUAACGGCUUACCAAGGCAACGAUGCAUAGCCGACCUGAGAGGGUGAUCGGCCACACUGGAACUGAGACACGGUCCAGACUCCUACGGGAGGCAGCAGUAGGGAAUCUUCCGCAAAGGGCGAAAGCCUGACGGAGCAACGCCGCGUGAGUGAUGAAGGUCUUCGGAUCGUAAAACUCUGUUAUUAGGGAAGAACAUAUGUGUAAGUAACUGUGCACAUCUUGACGGUACCUAAUCAGAAAGCCACGGCUAACUACGUG